RNAcentral lists this ribosomal RNA (231 nucleotides) under uncultured bacterium. Its description in RNAcentral is "partial 16S ribosomal RNA". It matches the Rfam family "Bacterial small subunit ribosomal RNA", at positions 15 to 235 of the family's 1533-position model. The record is from RNAcentral.
GAUCCUGGCUCAGGAUGAACGCUAGCUACAGGCUUAACACAUGCAAGUCGCGGGGCAGCAUGAAGGAUGCUUGCAUCCUUUGAUGGCGACCGGCGCACGGGUGAGUAACGCGUAUCCAACCUGCCUGUUACCACGGCACAGCCCGUCGAAAGGCGGAUUAAUGCCGUAUGUGGUCUUGAAAGGGCAUCUGAUCAUGACUAAAGGUUCAGCGGUAACGGGAUGGGGAGUGCG